CUUGCCCCUGACUCUGGGAUAACUACCGGAAACGGUGGCUAAUACCGGAUAUGAGGCGCCUGGGCAUCUGGGCGCCUGGAAAGUUUUUCGGUCAGGGAUGGGCUCGCGGCCUAUCAGCUUGUUGGUGGGGUGAUGGCCUACCAAGGCGACGACGGGUAGCCGGCCUGAGAGGGCGACCGGCCACACUGGGACUGAGACACGGCCCAGACUCCUACGGGAGGCAGCAGUGGGGAAUAUUGCACAAUGGGCGCAAGCCUGAUGCAGCGACGCCGCGUGCGGGAUGACGGCCUUCGGGUUGUAAACCGCUUUCAGCAGGGAAGAAGCGCAAGUGACGGUACCUGCAGAAGAAGCGCCGGCUAACUACGUGCCAGCAGCCGCGGUAAUACGUAGGGCGCAAGCGUUGUCCGGAAUUAUUGGGCGUAAAGAGCUCGUAGGCGGUUUGUCGCGUCUGCUGUGAAAUCCUCAGGCUCAACCUGGGGCUUGCAGUGGGUACGGGCAGACUAGAGUGCGGUAGGGGUGACUGGAAUUCCUGGUGUAGCGGUGGAAUGCGCAGAUAUCAGGAGGAACACCGAUGGCGAAGGCAGGUCACUGGGCCGCAACU
This 601-nucleotide ribosomal RNA is filed under the name Cellulomonas sp. Z0-YC6829. RNAcentral describes it as "bacterial SSU rRNA". It matches the Rfam family "Bacterial small subunit ribosomal RNA", at positions 125 to 741 of the family's 1533-position model. The record is from RNAcentral. Lineage: Bacteria; Bacillati; Actinomycetota; Actinomycetes; Micrococcales; Cellulomonadaceae.